UUGCAAAAGCAUUUGGGGUUUCAAGAUCCAACACUAUGAUUAAUUGAAAAGCUUCAAUUACUAACCAAUUUAUAAAGGUUGGAUUUUUGGUGAGAUUGUUCGAAAGGGUUAGUAGAUGAACUUACAAAAAAGAGGAUUAGUAGACUCUUUCAUCUUUUUUGAACACCUAGAUUGGCUAUUUGGCCUUAUAACCACAGCUACCUCCCUCCUUCCCUGUCAAUCUCUGUGAUAUACUGAACAUUGUCUCAUUCUUGACAUUUGCCCAAACUUGACACUGUCUCAUACUUAAAAAUUCAGCUGAUAAGUCCAGCUUUGCGAAAGAGUCAGCAAUGAAAAUAGAUGCACAACCUUCAAGUAGUCUUGGUCUUAUGUUCAACUAAGAAGUAAUCUUCCAUCACCAACAAAAUCAGUUCAAUUUUUGAAAUUUCUGAGAUGGAGGAGUACGUCAAGCACCCAGGGAAGUUUGCACUUGUUGGAGGAAAACGGCUCAAGGGAAUGAUCAUGACAGGUGGGCUUGGGACUGGUAAGACUCUGCUUUCCAAGACUAUUGCAGCAGAAGCCAGAGUACCUUCAUUUAUUCAGAGCAGAUUCAGAAAGGAAUUGAGGGUCUGCCAAUGGUAUUCU
Papaver somniferum (opium poppy) is the source of this 624-nucleotide long non-coding RNA. RefSeq lists it as uncharacterized. The record is from RefSeq and is a predicted model, not a curated record. Lineage: Eukaryota; Viridiplantae; Streptophyta; Magnoliopsida; Ranunculales; Papaveraceae. The transcript is spliced from 6 exons.